GACGAACGCUGGCGACGCGCUUAACACAUGCAAGUCGAACGGAAAGGCCUGCUUUCCCUUGUGGAUUGCGGGUACUCGAGUGGCGAACGGGUGAGUAACACGUGAGUGAUCUGCCCCCAACUUGGGUAUAAGCCUGGGAAACUGGGUCUAAUUCCCGAUAGGACUGCAGGGUGGUGCCUGUGGUGGAAAACGAUUUUCUAGUGGUUGGGGAUGAGCUCGCGGCCUAUCAGCUUGUUGGUGGGGUAAUGGCCUACCAAGGCGGCGACGGGUAGCCGGCCUGAGAGGGUGGACGGCCACAUUGGGACUGAGAUACGGCCCAGACUCAUACGGGAGGCAGCAGUGGGGAAGAUUGCACAAUGGGCGGAAGCCUGAUGCAGCGACGCCGCGUGGGGGAUGACGGCCUUCGGGUUGUAAACUCCUUUCGACCGCGAGGAAGCCACCUGGUUGGAAGGGUGGUGACGGUAGUGGUAGAAGAAGCACCGGCUAACUACGUG
Molecule: ribosomal RNA, 494 nt
Filed under: uncultured bacterium
Lineage: Bacteria
Description: partial 16S ribosomal RNA
Rfam family: Bacterial small subunit ribosomal RNA
Source: RNAcentral